Mesocricetus auratus (golden hamster) is the source of this 623-nucleotide long non-coding RNA. RefSeq lists it as uncharacterized. The record is from RefSeq and is a predicted model, not a curated record. The transcript has 3 exons. Lineage: Eukaryota; Metazoa; Chordata; Mammalia; Rodentia; Cricetidae.
UUUCUGGAUUAACGACUGGUGUGGAAUGGCCCAGUCCACUGGGGUGGAGCUAUCUUUGCAGAGGCGGCUCUGGGUGGUAGAAGGAAGCAGGCUGAGCAAGUCAUCAGAAGCGAGCCAGUAAGGAGAAGCAGGUCAUGAGAAGAGAGCCGGUAAGGAGAAGCAGGCCAUGAGAAGCGAGCCGGUAAGGAGAAGCAGGUCAUGAGAAGAGAGCAGAACUCUUGAUUUCCACUGCUCUAUAGCCUGCAACCUCCAUGAGGACAGAAACCAGCCUGCCUGACCCAGGGAUGUCUGGGUAUAACCACUUGUGGUCCUGAGUCUACGAUCAGUAUUUGCUGAGAUCCAGCGGGCGCUGCCCCUGUCUUACCAGAGCCAUACCAGUCUUGGUUAGACCCAAUGGAUGGCAGCACACAGAGGAAGAGAUGAGUUCACCCAGCUGAACCACAGAGAUGCGUGAGCAGCGAGACUAAUUGAAUAUUUUCAGUGAAGCCGAAUGUCGUGUUUCUAAAACAAUUCCAAGAUUAAAUAAAAUUAGUUUGGAAAAGAUAAUGCUUAUUUCCCAAAUGUCAUCUGUAUGUGUCCCUUGCUUGAGGUAAGGACACUAAAUGUUUACAGAGAAUUCCAAG